This 376-nucleotide ribosomal RNA is filed under the name uncultured bacterium. RNAcentral describes it as "bacterial SSU rRNA". It matches the Rfam family "Bacterial small subunit ribosomal RNA", at positions 524 to 898 of the family's 1533-position model. The record is from RNAcentral.
UACGUAGGUGGCAAGCGUUAUCCGGAUUUACUGGGCGUAAAGGGAGCGUAGGCGGAUACUUAAGUGGGACGUGAAAUACCUGGGCUUAACUUGGGUGCUGCAUUCCAAACUGGGUGUCUAGAGUGUUGGAGAGGAAAGUGGAAUUCCUAGUGUAGCGGUGAAAUGCGUAGAGAUUAGGAAGAACACCAGUGGCGAAGGCGACUUUCUGGACAAUAACUGACGCUGAGGCUCGAAAGCGUGGGGAGCAAACAGGAUUAGAUACCCUGGUAGUCCACGCCGUAAACGAUGGGUACUAGGUGUAGGAGGGAUCGACUCCUCCUGUGCCGCAGUUAACGCAAUAAGUACCCCGCCUGGGGAGUACGGUCGCAAGAUUAAA